GCAAACAUUCACAGACUCAUAUUGACUCUGUAAACCAAUGUGGUAACUCUGCAUCCAUAUGUAAGACGAAAGACGAUUGUUUCCGAGCACUGCGUGCUAAGCUAUCUGCCUUAAGGUUCGCCGUCCUAGGAACAUGAAUGAUUUCUGAGUUGAGGAAACUUCUUCUGAGAAGCUUAAUGUCUUCCAGGUAGCUUUCAAAUGCUGGCCAUUCUUCUGGUUCCGAAACCAUCUUCACCAAUUGAGAACAAUCCGUUGCAAACGUAACCUGAAAUUGUCUUAAAUUUUUCAUACAUUCUAUUGCCCAUAUUAAUGCCUUCAUCUCCGAAUGAAGAGGGGAGAGACAUGCCUGUACAUUCCUUGCCCCUAACAAUCCAUCAAAACCCGGGAGAGUGCUAAACCAGCCUUGCCCUGAAUACAGGUCCUUAUCCUUCCAUGAACCAUCUGUGAAACACCAUCUCCCUGCAUUCGCCUGGAUGGGUCUGGUCUGUACUUCCUGUACCAAACUUUGAUUCCUUAAUAACUGCGCUUCAGUCCAAAGUGUUGAUUCUAAUUCCGCUAACUUAAGAGUGUCCCUCGGAUCAAUAUCAAUAUUGCUAAACACUUUGUUAUUCCGACUUUUCCAGAUGUACCAUAUUAUCCAUGCAAACUGAUGGUCCUC
This 658-nucleotide long non-coding RNA is filed under the name Brassica rapa (field mustard). RNAcentral describes it as "long non-coding RNA (BRAP_LNC001461)". Lineage: Eukaryota; Viridiplantae; Streptophyta; Magnoliopsida; Brassicales; Brassicaceae. The record is from RNAcentral.